This 253-nucleotide ribosomal RNA is filed under the name uncultured bacterium. RNAcentral's name for it is "partial 16S ribosomal RNA". It matches the Rfam family "Bacterial small subunit ribosomal RNA", at positions 524 to 776 of the family's 1533-position model. The record is from RNAcentral.
UACGUAGGGUCCGAGCGUUGUCCGGAAUUAUUGGGCGUAAAGGGCUCGUAGGCGGUUUGUCGCGUCGGGAGUGAAAACACGGGGCUUAACCCCGUGCCUGCUUCCGAUACGGGCAGACUAGAGGUAUGCAGGGGAGAACGGAAUUCCUGGUGUAGCGGUGAAAUGCGCGGAUAUCAGGAGGAACACCGGUGGCGAAGGCGGUUCUCUGGGCAUUACCUGACGCUGAGGAGCGAAAGCGUGGGGAGCGAACAGG